Molecule: RNA transcript, 667 nt
Organism: Cucurbita maxima (winter squash)
Lineage: Eukaryota; Viridiplantae; Streptophyta; Magnoliopsida; Cucurbitales; Cucurbitaceae
Gene name: RNA polymerase II transcriptional coactivator KIWI-like
Exons: 5
Source: RefSeq, a predicted model, not a curated record
AUUUUCCGUCGAGCUCACUUGCUGUAUUGAAGAGCACACAUACUCGGGAAGAGAAGAAGAAGAAGACCAAAAGCGAAAAGGGAGGAAGAAAUGUCUGCAAGAGGAAAGCGAAGAGACGACGAAGAUCAUGUAUCUGAGGGAGAUGCUCCUCCAAAGAAGACAUUCAGGAAAGAUUCCGAUGAAACUGAUGAAAUCGUCGUCUGCGAGAUUUCAAAGAACCGUAAGGUUAUUGUGAGGAACUGGCAAGGAAAGAUUGUGGUGGAUAUUCGGGAGUUUUAUGUCAAGGAUGGAAAGCAGAUGCCUGGAAAGAAAGGCAUCUCGCUAUCCUUGGAUCAGUGGAAUGUUCUCCGUAAUCAUGUAGAUGAAAUUGACAAGGCUGUUGAUGAAAAUUCGUUAGGUGAUUAGUGAGGCAUCUUUGGUUGAUAUUAGUAGCAAAUGUAUUGCUCCGUAGGGUUGUUUUGCUUUAUGACAACGAAAGUAUGCCUUUUGUACAGCCAAUGGGCUUGGUGGAAAUGAAGACCAGAGAGCAGGUUACAUAUCAUCUUGGAGUAAGCCAAUACGAUCUGGAGGAGCUCAUCUCUCUCUUUAUGACAAUUGGGUAGCAAGCUUCCCAAACUAUAUGCCAAGAUCGAAGAAGAACAUGGAGCCUUGACAUGAUGUCAUGGUU